GUCUUUUAUGAAGUCAGUGUUUGUCUGCUGUGGUGUUCAAACCAAAGUAUGAGUGGCUUUGCAAGAAGCCUCUAAAUAAUCAAAGGAAAAAUACUUGUAAACACAUCUGUUGUCUGCCAUGCAACUUCUCCCUAAUCUGCCACAGAUUUUUCCCCACAGGAGGCUGCUAAAUUAGAGCUUAAUACUGAGGCAGCAUCUCACAUACUCCCUCUGGUUCGUCCUCUCAAUAUAAAGCAGCCUUCACUUCCAGCUAGCAUGAGUGUUAUCCCUCUGGGAGACACCAGUUUCCAUCCCACUUUUUACAGGAUCAUCCUCUCUGAGAAACACAGCCAUUCGCUACCAGCUGAGCAUGCCUUACCCCUCCACUCAGGCAGGCUUUCAAGCCUCGUUGGAUCCAUAUGCUCCAAAUGAUCCCACUGAUUUUUUUCCCGGUUUCUGCAUGGAUAUGACUUGUGGUGUUUCAUCCAUGCAAAGGCUGCCAUAUGCUCUUGGGUACCAGCAGGAGCAAGACAGGACAGAUUAUGAUCUUCAGAGGACUGCAGCUGCCACCAAAAUUGUGCAGGACCUAUAUAUAAGCUUUGAGUUUUCCUGUUAAGACUUGCUGUUCUUCUCUGACAUGCCUCUUUGUACUCAGAUUUGUCAUGCAUCUUACAGGUUGGAAAUCAUAUCCUCAGCCAUCAAAUCCUCCAUUUCUGUCUUGAAUAAUAUGCUUUGUAGCAAAAAAAUUCUUGGAGAUGUUUCCGUGAAUGUACAAGUAAAUUGGUUUUAAGGCUGUAAGGAUAUGGAAUACAUAUUCAUUCACUGAGAUGCUUCAAAAAGAGUACCAGGGUUAGCAAAGGAAAGUAAAAUAGAUCUGAUUUAUGCAGUAAUACGGUACAAAGACUGUGCAGGAAUAAUGCAAACAAUAAUUUUAUAUGUGUUUAUGUGCAUUAAGUCUCUAAGUGAUUAUACUGUCUCUAACAUCUAGGUUAUCACAGGGUUCUGUAAUGCCUUAAAGGACUGUAGCUGCGAAUAGACAAGCAUAAGUUCCAUUUUGGUAACAGCAAAUGCAUAUUUUUGCUCGCACAACCUUCCUCCUCUGUCAGCUGUACCUGCACUUUCGUCUGCUGUUUGGCUGAUAAAAUGCCACUGACGUCAGCUAUAGCAAAGCUUUGUGCUUGAUAUCUGUGCUAGCAAGAAGAGGAUCAGGGCCACACUAAACAAAAAACGUCAGUCAUCGAGGGCUAAGUGCUCAGAGGGAAGGUAAGUGAAGGGGGCUUUGUGUAACCCUUCUGCCACCCUCAAAGAUGACAUAAGGUUGGACUUAACUGAAGAAGUCUGCAAGCUGCCUUUUUACUUUGUGGGCUCUUGGAGGAAAUGCUUUGAAAAGGCUAAAGGCACUGACAUUUUGGUGCUACGAGAGGUAGGAUGUUAGCUAGUUAGACAGGAAACGCUCCCCUAAGUGUAUGAUCCAUUAAGUUGUUUUGCAACACUGGGAAAUGAAGCAUGGAGUAUUUUACUGAAGUCGAUAUCCCAUGGGGAUGAAAGAAAGAUCAGAAUCUUUCGCUGCAAUAGGCUGAGCUCUGCCAGCAUGUAGAUAUAAAUCCAGAAUAUCUCCAGUUGAGUUGAAAGGAUUGCCCUGAGUUUGACGACAGGGUCUGUCCCACCAAUAUGGAUUUCUCCAACCCUGUGUGUCCAAUGCUCUGAACCGCUGGCAGCUCAGAUGCCCGUGUGAAGAAUUUCAGCCAGAUACAGUAGCAGUGUAGCAAAUUGGGGACUCCUAAAAGGCUGCCUGAUCUCAUGUGGGGGAUACCUUUCUCAGUGCUGGGGUUUACUAUAGCUUUCUGAAUGAGUUUUGGUUUAUUCUGAUUGCACAGACACUUACACUAUGAAAAACAUGGAAUUUCUAUUAAGUGGAGAAAGGGCACUGCAUUGGUAUUCUGCAAAUGGCAUUUCUAACAGUCAGUCAUUCCCACUUUGCUUGCAGCUCCAGCACAGAAGCAUGGUGUUUCAGUCUGUCCUGGCAGAACAGAUCAAUUACCAGUUUUCAAUGGAGUGCAUCCUGAUGUCACUGCCUUUCUCCUGCAGCUGUUGACUGCCUGUGCUGUGGCUGCUCUUCUGAGCAGAGCAGCUCUCUCUGCCAGGUGUUCAACUGUUCAGCUGGUGCUUCAGCAUAUUUUCUUCUGCCUUCCCUACAGACUUGAAGGGCAGGAAAAGGGCCUGCCAGGCUUGGCCUGAAAUGGAUUUGGACUGAUGUUUUCAGGGCUACUCAGCUGCAGGUUUUUGUUUCAAAUUCAACUCAGAGGAUGGAACAACAACAGAAAAAAAGAAGAAAAAAACCCCAACCUCUCAGGAGGCUUUCUUUACAUAGGAUACCUAAAACUUGAAUGAAAGCAGAAGCUGAGCAUUAAAAAACGCCAGAUUCAAAAAGCUGCCGGCACUGAACAUGGUUGAUCAAUGAUAUUUUGUUGGUAAAAUGAGAGGUUCUACUGAAGCUGUUUCCCCUUGAUCUGCUGCCAGGGAUGGCACCAGAGGUCUCUGAGGAGCUCAGAAUGGAAGGCAAAGGAGUCUGGAGGAGGAAUUCCUUUGUGACAGAGACUGCAGAAUGAGAAAAAUCUCUCAACCGUGUGCUGCAGCUAUAUUUUUACAGCCAAAAGCUCAGUAAACAUAAAAAGCAGGCAGUGAGCUGUUGAAAAGAAAGAAAACUCAAACCUCAAAUGCACUUUUCAUAGUAUUCUGGCUUCAGGUUUCAUGAAAUGACAAGGGAAUUGAAACACAUCUGAAGACUGUUAGGUACCUCUCUGCCUUUCCCUCCACACUGGACAUACUGGGAUUUGAAAAACAAGAUGAAUUUUUAAGCAGCAGUUGCCCAGAGUAUGGACUCUCUCUUCACUGUAUAUUCAAGAAAAGAUAUGCUGGAUCAGGAGUUUUGCCCUAGUAAGGAGUCUUACCCAAGCAUAGCAAGGAGCUUGUUAAGAUUAGUGUGCCUCAGCUGGGCACUGACCCAGGUGAUCACCACGUUACAGGCACGAGCAUGGUUGCAAAAGCAAACAGCUCAGCUAGGGUACCAGAAGCAUCAUGGAGAUGGCACUGGAGGUCUCUCACUGUUUGUGAAAGCUGAGUUUGGAAAACCUUUUUUAAGAUUGGUCACUUAGAAGAGAUGUAUUUUGUUGUUUGAGCAGUAACUGCUGGAAGACAACACUGUGUCUCAGCACUGUGAUUGCACUGUUCCCUUUGUUUAAAGGAUGGGUGGGUGGUUAUCCUUUGCUUAUUCCCUACACUAAACAAAAAGGCAAUCUGUCCAGAACCUUAAAUUAGGGUUUCUUUAGCCCAUAACCACUAAUACUAUCUCUGCAAAUAUUCAGUAUUUUUGUAUUUCAGGAGCUGAGAAAUUCUGUUGUUUGUUACAGGGAAAACAAAGCAUGCAAAAGGCUUUCUGUAAUGCUCUUUCUAUUUAGUUUCACAUAGGGACAUAGGGUGCCACUAGCUUUGGUCUGCUAGGCUCUGUGCAGGGAGGCAUUGCUUGAGGGAGAAGACGGUUUUGCAAGCAGUGGGAGUGUGUGUUCUCUGCCUUGGGCCUUCAUUAGACUCAAUUCUUCAGGCAGAAAUGGCUCCCUGGAAAUCAGGCACUGGUGCUGGGCUGAGACUGCUGAGCUAGGAAUUGCCUUCUGCUGCUCCCAGCUGCCAGUGAUGUGUAAAUAAAAGCAAAUUAUUCUUGGGCUCUCUGUCACUUCCCAUGCUGCAAAAUCAACCCACAGGACAUCAAAAUCUGAAGCACUAAAUGAUCAGUAUUGGUGCCAGAAGGAGCACUGACAUGUAAGAAAGGGGAAAACAAAGGUGUGAUCCCCAGGUGUAGCCUACAGAUGACUGAACCCCACAGCUGGCAGCCAACAAACAACCCCAGGAACUCCCACAAGCUUAGCCAAAGUGUCUGAAGACCACACUUACUCAGCCUACAAACUUCAUGGCUUCAUCCUAGCACAGUCAAUGCUUCCUGGGUAUCAAGCUUCAAUUCAAGGAUAUUUCACCAAAGGAGCUGAGCUUGGCUGGAAAAAGAAUUGCACGUCCUGCAGCUUCGUGGGUCAGAUCACUGAUUGGUACGAAUGGCACUUCUCCGUCAGCUCCAGAAGCAUCUGUCACCCCAGGAUGUGCUCCCCUGCUGGGCUGCAGCUUACGAGGCCAGCAACAGAGCAAGUGGGAAGACCUUUUAACGUUCUGUAUAAAGCUGGGAGCAAACUGAGCACACGAGAACCAAAAAUCUCCAAUGAGGCAAAGAUUUUUGGACGUGUUUAAGUGGCAUUGUAUGCGCUGUGGUUCAUUUUUGCUCUUAAUACUUUGAUACAGCUGUGAUGUUUUUUUCAACUCCCAAAGACAAAUUACAGCAUAUAAAAGACCAUGAGGUUACACUUUGGUUCUGAGAUAGUCACAUUAAUAUAUUAUGAAGGCACUGUAACAAGUAUUAGUAUUUUCCUGAAUCACCAUCUAGGGUCAGUAGAAAAUAUGUAUAAUUUGCAAAUUCGUUUUAGAUACAAUGUAAGAAAGUAAGUAGGCUGGGGUAAUUACAGGGCUUGCUGAUGCUGGAGACAAGCUGCAGAGAGACAUUGCUCAGCUUGCCUAUCAGAGCAGGCCCUGAGGAAGCAGGUGAGGAGGAAGGUUAUAAACAGUGGGAGCAGGGCAUUAGGAAGCCCUGAGAGUUCUCUGAUGCAGAGGAGCAUUAUGUGAGGUCCUGUUCCAGAGCUGUUUUCCCCAGGGGUAAGUGCUGGUGUAACUCUCUACAAGUGGCAAUGAGCAAAGGUGCUUUGCAGGCAUGGGGAGGUGGGGGGAAAGCUGGUGGUAAAGUUUUCCAUGAGUGUAAGCUCUCAUGCUUUUAAGGGUGGCUACUCUGGGCCAUGUGAGGUUCCUGUUUCUGCAUCUUGCAGUGCUAUGGCUGAGCUUGGGGUGAGAUCUGAGCAUUUUGUGGUGCAGCAGCCAUGUAGGAGUCCAGGGAAUGGUAGGUGUGCAUUUGCAUUCUAGUACCAGCACUGUUUGGGCAUGGGUCCACUCUGCUGACUAGAACAUACUAACUUAAGCUAAGGUCAGAUAUGUCCUUUGCUGGAAAGGUUUCUUAAACUGUGAAUGUCCCGGUGGCUCUGUGAAGUGUUUGACAAAAGAAGAGUAUUCUUUUAAAAGUGUGAUAAACUCAGGAGGUACCUUCUAUGAUUUAUGCUGGCACUAUCUGGUUGGGAAUCAUUUCUUGUGGCAGAUCAGAGGAGUAUGUUUGUGCAGCAUUGGUAUGUAAAUGUCGUGAUGGGAUCUUACUUUGAAAUAUAUGUCAUGUCAAGCAAGCAGGGGAAAUAUGCAAGGAGUGUAAUUUAUCAUCUAGCUUCCAAAUUAUUCCUUAUGUUUCAAGUCCAGUCAUGGUGCUUGUAUGUGCUAAAUGUCCCUUAAAAUACUGUGCUUUUGUGCUUCCUGUGAACUUCCCUUGGAACUGAUAGUGCUUUGGCAAACAUAAGCCCCAAGGUUAAACUCUGUAUAAUGCCUCUUUGGCCUGUGCUUCUAGACUUAAGAGGAUGGUGCAGGAGAAGCUGUUUGUGAGCAUAUGGUAUUGUUUCUGCAACCCUCUGUUCCAAUGUGCUCAACACGCCUUUGGUUUUCAGCUGUUGAUAUUCUUACAUCUUUAUUUACUUUUUUUGAUGCUGUCUCUUUUUCUCACUUAAAGCUAUGCUCAAUA
This is a long non-coding RNA of Tympanuchus pallidicinctus (lesser prairie-chicken), 5689 nucleotides long. RefSeq lists it as uncharacterized. The transcript is spliced from 3 exons. Lineage: Eukaryota; Metazoa; Chordata; Aves; Galliformes; Phasianidae. The record is from RefSeq and is a predicted model, not a curated record.